Molecule: ribosomal RNA, 427 nt
Filed under: uncultured prokaryote
Description: bacterial SSU rRNA
Rfam family: Bacterial small subunit ribosomal RNA
Source: RNAcentral
UGGGGAAUAUUGCACAAUGGGCGCAAGCCUGAUGCAGCCAUGCCGCGUGUAUGAAGAAGGCCUUCGGGUUGUAAAGUACCUUCAGCGGGGAGGAAGGGAGUAAAGUUAAUACCUUUGCUCAUUGACGUUACCCACAGAAGAAGCACCGGCUAACUCCGUGCCAGCAGCCGCGGUAAUACGAAGGGUGCAAGCGUUAAUCGGAAUUACUGGGCGUAAAGCGCACGCAGGCGGUUGGUUAAGUCAGAUGUGAAAUCCCCGGGCUCAACCUGGGAAUUGCAUCUGAAACUGCAAGGCUAGAGUGUGGUAGAGGGGGGGAGAAUUCCAGGUGUAGGAGUGAAAUGCGUAGAGAUGUGGAGGAAUACCGGUGGCGAUGGCAGCACCCUGGGCGAACACUGACGCUCAUGCACGAAGGCGUGGGGAGCAAACA